ACUCACGAACCACCAGAUCAUGACCUGAGCCAAAGUUGGACGCUUAACCAACUGAGACACCCAGGCGCCCCUCAAUAAAUAAUUUUUGAAUACUUGAGUAAAUGACUGUUGUCAACUCUCCGUGUUCUUGAGCAAGCCAGUUUUUCCUUGAGCCUUAUUUUGAACAAUUUAAAAAAUAAACAAAAACCAAAACUCUGAUCAACCUACUCUUCAAGGGUUCAAGGUUCUAGGGCAAACAGUAAGACUCCCUCCACUCAGCUGUUCUUUCAGAUAAUUAAUAAGAGGUGCCAGACCACAGAUCAGAAGAUGUGUUAUGUGAAGCCUGAGGAUUUUUGCCAUGUUAGGCUGGCCCCUUUCUCUCUCCCUGGUUGUAGGUGGUUAGUAUAUAGUACACAGAGCACCGUCAUCAGAGAGAAAGGAGCUAAGAAGUGAGAGGAUUUACACACAGGAAGAAAUGUAUGCCUAACCUCUAUAUAGCUCAGUUCCCAGGAUGUAGAGAAGGGAUGGCCUCUGAAUUCAUUGCCAAGGUUAGAAAGUACUUGGAGGGGCCAGUGACCAGGCCUCUUGUUGCAGCCAUGGGAAACUCUCUAUCCAACAUGGGGGUACCUGGCCUAGCUGCAGGUGAUCCAAUGGGCAGAAGUUAAAAAAUCUUGGUUGUUAAAUAAGAUCUGUCUGUACAUAGUCCUCAGAAUCCUAACUCCAGAUGUGACUGAAUUGCCACUUUGUAAAUACAGAAUUGCUCUUUUAUAAACCAGAAGCCAAUGCCUACAAACUGGGGAGGUAACUUCAUGAACCCCAGAUAACCUGUAUAUAUGCAUACCACCCAGCUAAAAAUAUCUAUAGGCUCUACCCAGCAUGGCUACUUACACCAAUUCAUCUCCAUGGCCUUACACAUACUAUACAUCUCACUAUGUUUCAGGAAGCCCUAUCUUGGAUACAGUGACCUCCUGCACAUCAGUCAAAGGACUGAAACUAGAAUAGGAAAAUCAGGAUUGGUUUCUACUUUGUUUCUUCUACUACUGAAAGUAUCUGACUCUAUUGUAAUUAAUUGCUUCAUGCCUGUUUCUUUCCCUAGGUUAUGAGAUACGCCCCAGAGAACUGAGGAAGAACAAUGGAGUACAUCAUUAACUAAAAUCAGUGCAUAAUUUUAUUUUUUUAAGCAUUCUGGAACAGAUAAUUUAUCACAGUUUGACGCCUCAGGAAACAUUCCAUUUUGGUUAUAUGACACAGAGAGAAGCUCUCUUAAACUUCCCCUACAGACUCCUUCGUAUAUUUGGCAUGAUGUUAAUCCUUCAGGCUGGUGUGGGAAUCUUCUCUUCUCAGCAAAAUUUGAAUUUCUACUUCUAGAUUAGAGUCAAAGAAGGAUUAGAAAGAUGUUCAUUUUAAUAUUUAAAGACCAGUUUAGGAAUACUUAUAAUAUCCUGCUAGUUAUGAAUGUAUUGCAUUUACUAAAAAUUGCUAAGUACCUUGCCAAAUUUUUGUUAAUAUUAUAAUCAAAGGUACUUAGUUACUGGUAUUUCUGCAGCCACUGAAAAUGCCAUGCAAUUAUAUACAGAAUAUAUUUUCUCUUUUGAAACUGAAAAGCCCUAGAGGUUCAGACUAAUGGCUGUGCUCUUCCAGAUACAUUAUUCAUUGUAAACUAGCUUUCCAGAAUCCUACAUUAUGGAAAACUAAUUACCUGUCACAUUUUUAAACACAUGUAUACUAAUACAUAUUAUGAGCAUUUUGAACAAUCUUUCAUUCCUAGUCAACUGUUUUUUGGUGUGUGUGUGUGUGUGUGUGUGUGUGUGUGUGUGUGUGUGUGUUUAACCGUGAAGGCAAAGUUUAAAAAAUAGAAAAAUAACAAAUUAGGAAAAUUUGACUAACAAAGAAUUUGACACAAUUCAUUAUUAGAGAAUGAUAAGUAAGUAAAAUGGAGGAUGAGUAAGAGAUCUACAUGCUGAAUCAACUGUUAAAAUGUAAGUCUUUCUUGCUUUUGAUUCUGUACAGAUGCCAGCCCUGAAAUGGAGGUGGUAAGAGAUGUGUUUCCCAGUUGAGGACAUGAAAGACACCACUCACCAGUUGUGGGCAAUACCUACGAGGGGAUUAGAUUGGAACUUUUGCUACAUGCCCUGCUCCCCACAUAUGAAGGUUCCCAAAGCAUAAUAUAUCCAAUUAUAUGCCUGGAUGGGGUUUUCAGGUCACCCCAGACCAGUCUUCUGUCAGUAAGUUCAUCCUUUGGUGUAGUUUUUAGGGAAAGAUAUUCAAAACUAGUCUCAAGUACAAGUGUUCAAAAACCCUGGGGAGUCCUGAACAAAUACAGAGAAAACUUAAAUAAUAACAAAUCAGGUACAAUUGUAUUAGAAAUAUCUAGAAUACAGAUCUCCAGUCAAGCUCUCUCCAUUUGUUCUACCACCCUGCACUGACAUCUCAUUAAAUUUAGAAUGCAGUUAAAAUCCUGCAAAAUUCUAUAUGAAUUGUUCCCUGCCACCCUAUCUAAUUAGCUCCUACUACUCUCUCCUAGUGUUCCUGGCUUCCUCUACUUCAACUAUCAGAAGGUGCCUGCAAUCACUGCAUCCCUUACAUAAAUUAAAGGAGUAAAGAAGUACAGGAGAUAUUACCCGACUUCUGAGGCUUCAUCAUAAGAAGCACAAAAUCCAUCACAUGGCAGAUAUGCAGAUGGGCAUUCCAUGAGAUGAGCCAAGAUUUUGAACACAAAGCCUUCUUCAGCCAGCUGGGAGCAGAUAUACGAAGAGCCUUGUCACCUGAAAUUUAUUGUCCUUCCCUAUUCAUUGUUCCAGAACAUAGGGCAGCAGCUAGAAUCUGUGGCUGAAACUGAAGUUUCAGUGAGCAGUAUGGUGAGCCUAGUCCAAACCUAUGUCAUCAUCCAAAUGUUGACUUCAGAUUUCAUUGAUAUUUACCAGUACCUUUGUUUUCUUGUUUUUCAUUCACAGCCCUUUACUUUACUCAGUAUUUCGUGAAAUUCUAUAUAUUAUAUGUUAGAUUAUUUGCUAGACAUUUUGUAGUUUUAUCGCUAUUGUUCAAGGUAUUCUAUUUCCUGGCAUAUUUUCUAGUUGGUUGCUGCUGCUUUAGAGGUUGUUGAUUUUUACAUGUUGAUCUUGUACUGAGCAAACUUGCUGAACUCCCUCAUUCUCUGCACCAAUAUUGGUUAUUUUGUCUUUUCCUUUCCAAUUCUUACAUCUCUUAUUUCUUUUUCUUAUGUUGUCCAGGGCUUUUAAUACUAUUUUAAAGAAUAAAUGGGAUAGUAGAUGAUGUCUAUGUGAAGUGCCUUUAUGAAAUCAGAUGACUGCUGUGGCUUUGCAAUAGAUAGUAAAUUAAAUUCAGGAAGUUCCUUUUCUUAGUUUCUUAAGAGAAGCACACUUUUUAAUAGCUGCAUUGUAUUCUUAUGUACAAAUAUAUUGUAAUUUAUUUAGGCAAUAUCUUAUUGAGAAAUAUGUUGGUUAUUUUCAUAAAUUUAUUUUUUAUAUUACAAAAAAAUCCUACAGUAAAAAUCUUUGUACAUAUUUCUUUCCACACUUGUCUAAGUUUAUAUACAGGAAACAUUUCUAGAAGCAUAACUGCUGAGUGAAGGAUGUGUGCCUUAAAUUUGUUUUCUCAAAUUUUGGAUAAAUGUUAUCAAAGAGAGAAAGAGCUAAACAUUUGUACAUCUUGUUUUGUAUACUAUUUCAAGUUAACUAAGGGGGCGUAGUUGAUGAGAGUAAGUUGGUUUUAUAGAAUUUCAAAUGCAACUAUAGGUAGGGCAGUAGCAUUAUAAAUGCACCAUUUUGUGACGUUCAAAGCAGUAAUCGAUUCAAACAGUAACCAUUAACGGAUGUCAAAAUCUUGAAGAGAAAAGUUGAUGAUUAUAACAGAAGGAUCAGAUAGCCAUUGUUUGAUUGCACUUGUUAGUCUUAAAAUCAACGCAGCCAAACAACCAGACUUUAUGAAGUACAGAGAACAUGUGAACUAGUCGCACAAAAAAGCUUGAACCUGAAUCUAAGUUUCUAACGUUUAAUUUCUACUUUAGUGGGAGGAGAGAGGAAGGGAAACAGUUAAAUAGCACAAAGAGGAAACAAUUAGACAAACCCAGAAUGAAGACAUUCUACAGAAGAACCAUCUUAUAUCAGCCACAAGUCAAUGACAUGAAUAUAAAAGGGAGAGUCAAAAAUGUUAAAAAUUAACAGUCAAAAAUGUUAAAAAAUGUAAUUCAAAUACCA
Long non-coding RNA from Herpailurus yagouaroundi (jaguarundi), 4196 nucleotides. RefSeq lists it as uncharacterized. The record is from RefSeq and is a predicted model, not a curated record. The transcript has 3 exons. NCBI's taxonomy places the organism in Eukaryota, Metazoa, Chordata, Mammalia, Carnivora, Felidae.